RNAcentral lists this ribosomal RNA (468 nucleotides) under uncultured bacterium. Its description in RNAcentral is "partial 16S ribosomal RNA". It matches the Rfam family "Bacterial small subunit ribosomal RNA", at positions 28 to 507 of the family's 1533-position model. The record is from RNAcentral.
GACGAACGCUGGCGGCGUGCUUAACACAUGCAAGUCGAACGGAAAGGCCCUGCUUUUGUGGGGUGCUCGAGUGGCGAACGGGUGAGUAACACGUGAGUAACCUGCCCCUGACUUUGGGAUAACUUCAGGAAACUGGGGCUAAUACCGGAUAGGAGCUCCUGCUGCAUGGUGGGGGUUGGAAAGUUUCGGCGGUUGGGGAUGGACUCGCGGCUUAUCAGCUUGUUGGUGGGGUAGUGGCUUACCAAGGCUUUGACGGGUAGCCGGCCUGAGAGGGUGACCGGCCACAUUGGGACUGAGAUACGGCCCAGACUCCUACGGGAGGCAGCAGUGGGGAAUAUUGCACGAUGGGCGGAAGCCUGAUGCAGCAACGCCGCGUGCGGGAUGACGGCCUUCGGGUUGUAAACCGCUUUCGCCUGUGACGAAGCGUGAGUGACGGUAAUGGGUAAAGAAGCACCGGCUAACUACGUG